AGUACGUGAAACUGCUUAGAGGUUAAACCCGAAGAACCUGAAUAUCCGUUAUGGAAAAUUCAUCAUUAGUAAUAUAAUAUAUUAAAUAUAUAUUGUGUGAACAGUGUGCAAUUUUUCCAUAUAAGGACAUUGUAAUCUGUUAAUGUAAUAAAUAUUUAUCAAAAGAUCCUUNACUUUAAGUUUAUUNUAAUUAAUAAUUNNAAUGGAUUUUUAACAAUAAAUAAAUGUAUUGGAUUUGAUAAAUCAUUGACAGAUAUAAUUAUAUAAUGUGCUUAAAUUCUUCGGAAUUUCAUCAAUGGUAGGCAGAUCUAUUGAUAUUAGUUUAUUUAAUUGUAUGCACUAUUAUGAUUAACAAUGCGAUAGAUUCAGGAUACCUUCGGGACCCGUCUUGAAACACGGACCAAGGAGUCUAACAUAUGUGCAAGUCAUUGGGUAUUUUUAAUAAAACCCAAUGGCGUAAUUAACUGAACUGUAUAAAGGGAUUAGUAUAUUGGUAAUUAAAUGGAUUUACUCAAUCCCGGGGCGUUCUAUAUAGUUAUGUAUGAUGGUAUUUAUAUUAUUUAUACCUCUAACUAGAGCGUACCUUGAGCAUAUAUGCUGU
Molecule: ribosomal RNA, 601 nt
Filed under: Paragus sp. 'crenulatus I'
Lineage: Eukaryota; Metazoa; Arthropoda; Insecta; Diptera; Syrphidae
Description: eukaryotic LSU rRNA
Rfam family: Eukaryotic large subunit ribosomal RNA
Source: RNAcentral